This 484-nucleotide ribosomal RNA is filed under the name uncultured bacterium. RNAcentral describes it as "partial 16S ribosomal RNA". The stretch from base 51 to 484 matches the Rfam family "Bacterial small subunit ribosomal RNA", at positions 39 to 507 of the family's 1533-position model. The record is from RNAcentral.
GGGGGGGGGGGGGGGGGGGCUGUGGGGGGGGAAGUCGAGCGGCCGCGGAGGCGGCGGCCUGGCGGCGUGUGGCGAACGGGUUGGUAAUGCAUCGGGACGUGCCCUGUGGUGGGGGCUUGGCCGGCGAAGUCCGGCUUCAUGCCGCCUACGGCCUGGGGGUGAAAGCGGGGGACCGAGAAGCCUCGCUCUAUUGGAGCUGCCGAUGUCGGGUUAGCUAGUUGGUGGGGUAAAGGCUUACCAAGGCGACGCUCCGUAGCUGGUCUGAGAGGACGACCAGCCACACUGGGACUGAGACACGGCCCAGACUCCUACGGGAGGCAGCAGUGGGGAAUUUUGGACAAAGGGGGCAACCCUGAUCCAGCCAUGCCGCGUGCGGGAAGAAGGCCUUCGGGUUGUAAACCGCUUUUGUUCGGGAAGAAAUCCUCUGGGCUAAUACCCCGGGGGGAUGACGGUACCGGAAGAAUAAGCACCGGCUAACUACGUG